UUGGGAAUUUAGCUCAGCUGUAGGGCACUUGCCCAGCAUUCAUGAGGCCCUGGGUUCAAUCCCCAGUACCAAA
This 73-nucleotide transfer RNA is filed under the name Marmota monax (woodchuck). Its description in RNAcentral is "tRNA.Ala". The record is from RNAcentral. Lineage: Eukaryota; Metazoa; Chordata; Mammalia; Rodentia; Sciuridae.